CGGGGUGCAGCAGGCGCGAAAACUUUACAAUGCCGGCAACGGCGAUAAGGGAACCUCGAGUGCCAGGUUACAAAUCUGGCUGUCGUGAUGCCUAAAAAGCAUUGCAUAGCAAGGGCCGGGCAAGACCGGUGCCAGCCGCCGCGGUAACACCGGCGGCUCGAGUGGUAACCGUUAUUAUUGGGUCUAAAGGGUCUGUAGCCGGCCGGGUAAGUCUCUUGGGAAAUCUGGCAGCUUAACUGUCAGGCUUUCAGGAGAUACUGCCUGGCUCGAGGCCGGGAGAGGUGAGAGGUACUUCAGGGGUAGGGGUGAAAUCUUGUAAUCCUUGAAGGACCACCAGUGGCGAAGGCGUCUCACCAGAACGGACCUGACGGCAAGGGACGAAAGCUAGGGGCACGAACCGGAUUAGAUACCCGGGUAGUCCUAGCCGUAAACGAUACUCGCUAGGUGUCGGCCACGGUGCGACCGUGGUCGGUGCCGUAGGGAAGCCGUGAAGCGAGCCACCUGGGAAGUACGGCCGCAAGGCUGAAACUUAAAGGAAUUGGCGGGGGAGCAC
RNAcentral lists this ribosomal RNA (553 nucleotides) under uncultured archaeon. RNAcentral's name for it is "bacterial SSU rRNA". It matches the Rfam family "Archaeal small subunit ribosomal RNA", at positions 326 to 879 of the family's 1478-position model. The record is from RNAcentral.